RNAcentral lists this ribosomal RNA (301 nucleotides) under uncultured bacterium. RNAcentral's name for it is "partial 16S ribosomal RNA". It matches the Rfam family "Bacterial small subunit ribosomal RNA", at positions 509 to 809 of the family's 1533-position model. The record is from RNAcentral.
CAGUCGCCGCGGUAAUACGUAGGGUGCGAGCGUUAAUCGGAAUUACUGGGCGUAAAGCGUGCGCAGGCGGUUUUGUAAGACAGGCGUGAAAUCCCCGGGCUCAACCUGGGAAUGGCGCUUGUGACUGCAAAGCUAGAGUGCGGCAGAGGGGGAUGGAAUUCCGCGUGUAGCAGUGAAAUGCGUAGAUAUGCGGAGGAACACCGAUGGCGAAGGCAAUCCCCUGGGCCUGCACUGACGCUCAUGCACGAAAGCGUGGGGAGCAAACAGGAUUAGAUACCCCUGUAGUCCCUGUCUCUUAUAA